Molecule: long non-coding RNA, 102 nt
Organism: Oreochromis niloticus (Nile tilapia)
Lineage: Eukaryota; Metazoa; Chordata; Actinopteri; Cichliformes; Cichlidae
Exons: 3
Source: RefSeq, a predicted model, not a curated record
CCCCGUCGGGCGAAAGUGACCGGCGGGGGGUUAAGGCCCACGUCCGGGAGGCGCUCGCAAAUGGGCGCGUGCCCAAACCAAGCUGGACCCCCCCCAGCCAAA